This is a small nuclear RNA of Jaculus jaculus (lesser Egyptian jerboa), 107 nucleotides long. Lineage: Eukaryota; Metazoa; Chordata; Mammalia; Rodentia; Dipodidae. The record is from Ensembl.
GUGCGCAAUUCAGCAGCACAUAUACUAAAAUUGGAACAAUACAGAGAAGAUUAGCAUUGCCUCUGCACAAGGAUGGCACCUUUUUGGAUAAAAUGGUAAAAUUCCUU